Molecule: ribosomal RNA, 271 nt
Filed under: uncultured archaeon
Lineage: Archaea
Description: partial 16S ribosomal RNA
Rfam family: Archaeal small subunit ribosomal RNA
Source: RNAcentral
CAGCACCUCAAGUGGUCAGGAUGAUUAUUUGGGCCUAAAGCAUCCGUAGCCGGCGCUGUAAGUUUUCGGUUAAAUCUGUACGCUCAACGUACAGGCUGCCGGGAAUACUGCAGCGCUAGGGAGUGGGAGAGGUAGACGGUACUCGGUAGGAAGGGGUAAAAUCCUUUGAUCUAUUGAUGACCACCUGUGGCGAAGGCGGUCUACCAGAACACGUCCGACGGUGAGGGAUGAAAGCUGGGGGAGCAAACCGGAUUAGAUACCCGAGUAGUCC